CAAUAGCGUAUAUUAAAGUUGUUGCGGUUAAAAAGCUCGUAGUCGGAAUUUGGCAGUUCCGGAUGUGUGCACGUCGUGUGCGCACUUCGCGGGGAUUGCUUUUGUGGUCUUGCGUAGGAUGAGGCACUUUUAUUAGUGAACGUCCUCACGCAACCACUUUUUACUGUGAGAAAAUCAGAGUGCUCAAAGCAGGCAUUUGCCGUGAAUGUAUUAGCAUGGAAUAAUAGAAUAGGACUUGGUUCUAUUUUGUUGGUUUGUUGGGACUGAGUAAUGAUUAAGAGGGACAGUUGGGGGCAUUUGUAUUUCGGUGCUAGAGGUGAAAUUCUUAGAUUACCGAAAGACAAACUGCUGCGAAAGCGUCUGCCAAGGAUGUUUUCAUUGA
RNAcentral lists this ribosomal RNA (382 nucleotides) under uncultured eukaryote. RNAcentral describes it as "partial 18S ribosomal RNA". It matches the Rfam family "Eukaryotic small subunit ribosomal RNA", at positions 592 to 976 of the family's 1831-position model. The record is from RNAcentral.